UUCCGUAGGUGAACCUGCGGAAGGAUCAUUACCGAGUUGAUUCGAGCUCCGGCUCGACUCUCCCACCCAAUGUGUACCUACCUCUGUUGCUUUGGCGGGCCGCGGUCCUCCGCACCGGCGCCCUUCGGGGGGCUGGCCAGCGCCCGCCAGAGGACCAUAAAACUCCAGUCAGUGAACUUCGCAGUCUGAAAAACAAGUUAAUAAACUAAAACUUUCAACAACGGAUCUCUUGGUUCUGGCAUCGAUGAAGAACGCAGCGAAAUGCGAUAAGUAAUGUGAAUUGCAGAAUUCAGUGAAUCAUCGAAUCUUUGAACGCACAUUGCGCCCCUUGGUAUUCCGAGGGGCAUGCCUGUUCGAGCGUCAUUUCAACCCUCAAGCUCUGCUUGGUAUUGGGCCUCGUCCUCCACGGACGCGCCUUAAAGACCUCGGCGGUGGCGUCUUGCCUCAAGCGUAGUAGAAAACACCUCGCUUUGGAGCGCACGGCGUCGCCCGCCGGACGAACCUUUGAAUUAUUUCUCAAGGUUGACCUCGGAUCAGGUAGGGAUACCCGCUGAACUUAAGCAUAUCAAUAAGCGGGGG
RNAcentral lists this ribosomal RNA (579 nucleotides) under Neofusicoccum parvum. RNAcentral describes it as "eukaryotic LSU rRNA". The stretch from base 210 to 363 matches the Rfam family "5.8S ribosomal RNA". The record is from RNAcentral. Lineage: Eukaryota; Fungi; Ascomycota; Dothideomycetes; Botryosphaeriales; Botryosphaeriaceae.